Molecule: ribosomal RNA, 504 nt
Filed under: uncultured bacterium
Lineage: Bacteria
Description: partial 16S ribosomal RNA
Rfam family: Bacterial small subunit ribosomal RNA
Source: RNAcentral
AUUGAACGCUGGCGGCAGGCCUAACACAUGCAAGUCGAACGGUAGCACAGAGAGCUUGCUCUCGGGUGACGAGUGGCGGACGGGUGAGUAAUGUCUGGGAAACUGCCCGAUGGAGGGGGAUAACUACUGGAAACGGUAGCUAAUACCGCAUAACGUCGCAAGACCAAAGUGGGGGACCUUCGGGCCUCACACCAUCGGAUGUGCCCAGAUGGGAUUAGCUAGUAGGUGGGGUAAUGGCUCACCUAGGCGACGAUCCCUAGCCGGUCUGAGAGGAUGACAGGCCACACUGGAACUGAGACACGGUCCAGACUCCUACGGGAGGCAGCAGUGGGGAAUAUUGCACAAUGGGCGCAAGCCUGAUGCAGCCAUGCCGCGUGUAUGAAGAAGGCCUUCGGGUUGUAAAGUACUUUCAGCGGGGAGGAAGGCGGUGAAGUUAAUAACUUCACCGAUUGACGUUACCCGCAGAAGAAGCACCGGCUAACUCCGUGCCAGCCGCCGCCGUAA